Molecule: ribosomal RNA, 497 nt
Filed under: uncultured bacterium
Lineage: Bacteria
Description: partial 16S ribosomal RNA
Rfam family: Bacterial small subunit ribosomal RNA
Source: RNAcentral
GAUGAACGCUGGCGGCGUGCCUAAUACAUGCAAGUCGAGCGAACGGACGAGAAGCUUGCUUCUCUGAUGUUAGCGGCGGACGGGUGAGUAACACGUGGAUAACCUACCUAUAAGACUGGGAUAACUUCGGGAAACCGGAGCUAAUACCGGAUGAUAUUUUGAACCGCAUGGUUCAAAAGUGAAAGACGGUCUUGCUGUCACUUAUAGAUGGAUCCGCGCUGCAUUAGCUAGUUGGUAAGGUAACGGCUUACCAAGGCAACGAUGCAUAGCCGACCUGAGAGACUGAUCGGCCACCCGGGAACUGAGACACGGUCCAGACUCCUACGGGAGGCAGCAGUAGGGAAUCUUCCGCAAUGGGCGAAAGCCUGACGGAGCAACGCCGCGUGAGUGAUGAAGGUCUUCGGAUCGUAAAACUCUGUUAUUAGUGAAGAACAUAUGUGUAAGUAACUGUGCACAUCUUGACGGUACCUAAUCAGAAAGCCACGGCUAACUACGUG